CAAGACAAUAGCACACCGACUCAAAAUGCAAAUCAAAUAUAUAAUUACAUUGGUGAUUAUUGGAUUGGUUUUGGUGACGUCACCAGCCCAAGCUAAUACAAAUUGUUGUCAGUUAAGAUAUGCUGACUGUCAAUUAACAUGCCGGAAUUACGCCAAGAACAAGACAGCCUGCACUCGUUAUUGUGAGAGGGCAAUGGCGUCAUGUACAAAGAAAUGAGACACAAUUGCAAAGAGAUCAAACAACACAACAAAAUAAGACAAUAUUGGCAUACUUUGGAUUGAUAAUCUUAAAUGGUCUUUUGAAUAAUGAAAAUUCUAAUUGUGUAGUGAAUAUCUUGAAAUUACAUUAUGUGAAAGUUUUCUUAUAUAUGUUUAUACAAUAUAGUUUUUAUAUUGUGGCUACUAGAUAAUUUUCAAUAAUAUGACUGCUUUUUCAUUAAAAUUCUGUUAUGCAUAA
This is a long non-coding RNA of Mytilus californianus (California mussel), 457 nucleotides long. RefSeq lists it as uncharacterized. The record is from RefSeq and is a predicted model, not a curated record. The transcript has 2 exons. NCBI's taxonomy places the organism in Eukaryota, Metazoa, Mollusca, Bivalvia, Mytilida, Mytilidae.